This is a non-coding RNA of Camellia sinensis, 3113 nucleotides long. The record is from RefSeq and is a predicted model, not a curated record. Lineage: Eukaryota; Viridiplantae; Streptophyta; Magnoliopsida; Ericales; Theaceae.
CCACGGACGCAAUGCCUCUUUCUUUCAUUUUGCACGAAACGCUACUUGGGGUUGGGGGUCAAAAUCAGACCCAACAAUCUCGCUCUAUCUAGACUGUUCCGACUUGGAACGGUGUCUCGCUUCGGCGGCGAGACUGGUUCAGCGGCGACAAUCGACGUUUGUGAGUUUCUCUUCUAAUCCUGUGGAGAAUGUCCAACUAAUUGGUAAUAUAUUGGCAAUGCUAUACGAAGCGACACUGAAUUGAGUAGGCUGAGUUAGUUUGUCAGUUUUGAUCAAUUACUCUUGCUACUUGGAGAGGCAAAAAUGCUUGAAAUGUUGCCGAUAUUACCCCUUCCAGCGCCCCCCUCUGAUGGGAAUCUUGGUCCUCUUCCCCCAUCUCAAGUUUCAGAGCAAUCUGAUGAUGAGAAGAAAAUAGAGACUGAGGAUCAGAACAGACCUAACUCUGUUCCCACAUCAAUUGCAACCCAUACAAGAACCAUUGGAAUUAUACAUCCUCCCCCAGACAUUAGGAAUAUUGUCGAUAAAACUGCACAAUUUGUUGCAAAGAAUGGACCUGAGUUCGAGAAAAGAAUUAUUGCAAACAAUGCUGGCAAUGCUAAGUUUAAUUUCUUGAAUGCCUCGGAUCCAUACCAUGCUUAUUACCAGCACCGCCUCUCUGAGUUUCGAGCUCAAAAUCAAACUUCUUCCCUGCAGCAGCCUUCAGAUACAUCUGCCUCAGAGUCGGCUCCUUCUGUUCCUGACGCGGAUGGUAACGAGGCAGUUACAAAAUCUGACCCCUCGGCCCAGUUUAGACCUGUCCGUAAAGUUCUCGAGUCACCAGAGGCUGAGCAAUACACCGUUAGGCUUCCAGAGGGGAUUACAGGGGAGGAAUUAGAUAUUAUUAAGCUCACUGCCCAGUUUGUGGCUCGUAACGGAAAGUCUUUUUUGACGGGAUUGACUAGCAGAGAGAUUAACAACCCUCAAUUCCAUUUUUUGAAGCCAACCCACAGUAUGUUCAUGCUUUUCACGUCACUUGCGGACGCAUAUUCAAAAGUUUUGAUGCCUCCAAAGGGAUUGACAGAUAAGUUGAAGAAGAGUGUUACUGAUAUGACUACCGUGCUUGAACGUUGCUUGCACCGGCUGGAGUGGGAACGUUCACAAGAGCAAGCAAGGCAGAAAGCUGAAGACGAGAUUGAGCAGGAACGGGUGCAAAUGGCUAUGAUCGAUUGGCAUGAUUUUGUUGUGGUUGAGUCUAUAGACUUUGCAGAUGAUGAAGAUGAGGAGUUACCUGCUCCAAUGACCCUCGAAGAGGUUAUAAGGAGGAGCAAGAUGUCAGCUGUGGUAGAAGAAGAUAUUGUCGAGCCCGGAAAGGAAGUGGAAAUGGAAAUGGAUGAAGAAGAGGUCCAACUUGUUGAAGAAGGAAUGAAGGCAGCUAGUCUUGAAGAGAACGGCGAAGAGAAGAAGAAUGAGAUGACCAUGCCAAUGGAGGAACAGGAACCACCAAUGAGAAUUGUGAAGAACUGGAAGAGGCCCGAGGACAGGAUCCCUGUAGAAAGAGAUCCGACAAAAUAUGUUGUUUCGCCAAUCACUGGUGAGCUAAUUCCCAUUAACGAGAUGUCAGAGCAUAUGAGGAUCUCUCUCAUCGACCCCAAGUACAAGGAGCAGAAAGAGAGGAUGUUUGCUAAGAUUCGGGAGACUACUCUUGCUCAGGAUGAUGAAAUUUCCAGAAACAUUGUUGGACUUGCACGGACCCGGCCUGAUAUUUUUGGUACCACGGAGGAAGAAGUUUCUAAUGCAGUCAAGGCAGAGAUUGAGAAGAAAAAAGACGAGCAACCAAAGCAGGUCAUAUGGGACGGUCAUACGGGGAGCAUUGGUCGCACUGCAAGCCAGGCCAUGUCACAGAAUGCAAAUGGAGAGGACCAAAACGACACUGCGAAUAAUGAUUCAAGGAAUCUUCCGGGGCCUGCCGCCCCUCCCCCUCCUAAACCUGGUGUGCCAUUGGUUCGGCCACUUCCUCCUCCACCUGGUCUAGCCUUGAAUCUUCCUCGUCUACCCCCAAAUGCAGUCCAGUAUUCAACUCCAACUAGUAGUGGAAUGCUUGCACCACCUCCACCGAGGCCACCAGUUAAUAUGAUUCCGUCUGUGCGGCCACCUCCUCCAAUGCAACUAAUGCCUGGACAGCAAUCCCUUUUCUUAAAUCAUCCACCCCCAAUGCCUCCAAUUUCUGUGAAUCCACCACCUAGUAUUCCUGUGCCACCUCCACCUGGAUCUCAAUUUACACCCCUGUCAGCUCCUCGGCCUUUUGUUCCUCUUUCCAUACACCAACCAGGCAUGCAUAUGGUUCCACCACCACCUUUACCUCAAGGAAUGCCUCCGCCGCCACCGCCUGAGGAAGCUCCUCCGCCGCUUCCAGAAGAACCGGAGCCAAAGAGACAGAGGCUUGAUGAUUCUGUUCUUAUUCCCGAAGACCAGUUCCUGGCUCAACAUCAACAGGGACCUGUUCGCAUCGCUGUAUCUGUGCCAAAUGUUGAUGAAGGAAACCUCAAAGGGCAAGUACUGGAGAUAACAGUACAGUCCUUAACCGAAACCGUUGGCAGUCUGAAAGAGAAAAUUGCAGGAGAGAUCCAACUUCCUUCAAACAAACAGAAGCUGAGCGGAAAGGCUGGUUUUCUCAAGGAUAAUUUAUCUCUUGCAUAUUACAACGUUGCUGGAGGGGAAACACUUGCUCUUUCUUUAAGAGAGCGUGGUGGUAGGAAGAGAUGAAUGGUUUUUGUUGGCCAGGCCUUUAAAGAUCUGAUGUAUUGGCAAUCGUCUGUUGAGGGUAACAGGAAGUGAGCUGUUCUUUGUCACUAAGCGGAGAAGUUGAUGCUGUCUUAUACAUACAUAAUGCAAGUUUUGUUUUGUAGGGAUAUACUUGAGCAGGAGAGGAGGAACUGUUGUGGAAAGAUCCCAUGCUAGCUAUGUCUCAACUGCGGUGACAGGUGGGAUUUUGUUGUUUCCUCAGUAGAACAGAAGAAUAGACACUUUUCAAAAUGUUCAAGGACAGUUGCCACUCCACCACCACCACCACCAUGACGGCAACCGUCACACCAUUGCUGCUGCUGCUCCACUACUUUCACUGUCUCACCAGCACU